RNAcentral lists this ribosomal RNA (393 nucleotides) under Triticum aestivum (bread wheat). RNAcentral's name for it is "partial small subunit ribosomal RNA". Lineage: Eukaryota; Viridiplantae; Streptophyta; Magnoliopsida; Poales; Poaceae. The record is from RNAcentral.
AUGCCGGAGAAAGCCUUGAGACGAUUUUUCACGGAUGAGGAUACCACAUGCCCGGUGAGAUUUCGCUAUAAGCGCAUCAUGUCAUGGCAGCAGCAACAUCAAAUGGGAGAUGCAAUGUUGCAUAGGGAUUGCAAGGCCGAAACCUUGGGAUACAUUGGGUUUCGACUUACAUGUUACAGGAUAUGCGUAGACGAUCCUAUAGAGCAUAUGGGCACAUGUAUGUGUGGAGACUCUGAAAAGAUGAACACAUGUAUGUGUCUGGUUAUUCUGAAGCUAUUUAAUAUAUUAGUUGUGUCAAGAAGUCAAGUCCAGGUUCCUCAUGUCAAGUCUAUAAGUUUCACUCGAAAGAAUAAAAUGCUCUCAAGGGUCGUACUAAAAAAAGAACUACAUUAG